Long non-coding RNA from Lepidothrix coronata (blue-crowned manakin), 3873 nucleotides. RefSeq lists it as uncharacterized. The transcript is spliced from 2 exons. Lineage: Eukaryota; Metazoa; Chordata; Aves; Passeriformes; Pipridae. The record is from RefSeq and is a predicted model, not a curated record.
UACCUGAAAGAACCAAAAAGGCACUGGUUACAUUUCCUGCCGUGCCUAUAAAUAAGCCCAAAUCCUGAAGAAUUGCACCCAUAGCCUGAGUCUUGAGCCACAGUUACUGGUGUGUGUUGUGCCCACAGGGAAGAGGCUUGAAACAAUGAAAAACUGAGCUCCCUCACACAACUGUUUGGGAAAAGUGCUUUUUCCCCCUCCUUCUUUCUCUUUUUCUCAUACUGCAUAAAAUAGAGGUGACAAUUAUUUAUCCUGGGGGAACUGUGAGCUUAAAUGUUUCACUGCUUGUAAAAAUGUGCUCGCAUGUUGCAGGAGAAAGCUGCAGUUGCUGUGGGAGUAUCUACAUUAGGGCUGGCCACAACAGUGCUUUAAUUGAAGAAUUUCCAUCAGCAGGCCUAGAUAUGGGACAAAAUUCUGCCUGCACGUGUCAGUACCAAACCUGGCAAUGAUUUAGGCCAUCAAGGUCAGCAGGGCGUGGGCUCUUCACCCUCCCAAGGUAAGCUGGACCCCACAGCUGUGUGUUUUACCUGCUUGGCUCCCUCCAUUCAGCAACUCUGUCUUCAUGUCUUGGAGCUGCGUCUGGAUUUGAUCCAGUCUGAGGGUGAGUUCUUCUGGAUGGCAUUGUGCUAGAGCAAUCAGACAGGUGAAUUUACAGAAGGCCAGGACAUCUACACUACAUCUUCUACUAGAUCUUCUACACUAGAUCUUCUAGUUUGGGGGAAAACCUUUGUUUUAAAAUGCAGCAUCUCUCCUCCCUGUGGUGCCCAGCCGCUCUCACACCUCACCCAGACACACCCGAGCUGAGGACCCUCCUGUGGUGCCACGUAGCACCAGUUACCCUGGAGAUGUGUGUGACAGUCAAAACUGCCCCAAACUGUCAAAAUACAGGCUGGCACACACCCUGCAGCCACCACUGCACCUUUAGAAGCCAAGUGUGUUGGCAGGGAAAGAGGAGGCGUGUGGGACAUCACCCGCGCAGGGAUGCUGCUGCUCCUGGGAGAGCUGAUCUCCAGCACGUCCAAACUCGCAGCUGAACACCUUCCACGCAGGUUUCUCGCCCCUCCCCAGUGCUUCUGGGUGAGCUUAACAGAGCAGAGAGCUUUGUUAUCAGUCAGCUGACCUCAGGUAACCUGCUGCUCUACAGCACCUGACCCUUGCUGUGAUGUGGCACCACAGUGUCAUCACAGCCACCUGUAAUUCCAAUUGCUUAGGAAUCUAUCCCAAAAGCUCUGUAGGAGAGAUGCCACAUUAUGUCAUCUGUCAGGCUGUUCCCAAAAUCACUGGAGGACAGAAAAGGAAAGGUGAAGCAUGGAGGAAAGAGCAGCUGGUGACAGCUACCACUUACCUGUGUGUGUGACAGGACAACUGGGGAGUGGAAGAUGGUCCAGAUCACACUCUCAGAGCAGGGUGGGGUUGUCAGGGAGCCCUGGUACCUGUAGAAGUGUGAGAGGUUUUCUGGCAGCAUGGCUUGGACAUCCAGAGAACUCAGCUUUGUGGAUUGACCUCAAAAGGGAGCAGAGAGGCAACAUCAGCAAUUAAUGGGGAGUGAGGAGAGAGGUGGAAGCUCUGUUAGAGCCGAGGUUGGCAAAUCCCUCUGCCCAGAGCACUGGUUUAUCAGGCCUUUGGCAGGAUGGAUGGAGAUGGAGAGAAAUGAGUGGCCCUUCCAGUGGGUCUGUGGGUUGUCAUUUGGAGGGACCUGGGUCCUGGGGGUGGGGGGCACCUGCACCCCAGUGCUCUGCCAGUACCUGCUGGUCCUCCCAGGAGGCAGAGAGUCUCAGUGGGUGUACAGACAGCAGGGAGCUGGUGUUUGGUGCUGCAGGCCUACCAGGGGUCUAUUUAUUGCUGCCUUGAGCACUUUCUCCCUCACUCUGCUGCUGUUGGAGCCACGUGGGCAGGGAUGGUGUGGAGCUGGGCACGGCUGAGGAUGCUCAGCCAUGGAACUGCCAGCAAAGCAGCAGGAAGAGGUCUGUCCUCAGACCCAGCACCCAUGUACAGGCUUUGAGAAUAGCAGGGGUGGAGAAAGGCAUUCCCAGGUCUUACCUGCAAACCUGAUUCUUGCCAGUUUGGAGAUGAAUUCACUGUAGUAGGUGUUCUCAAAGUGCCCAUCCUAAACACAGCACAGAAACCUUGAUCAAAAGCUUUGUGACCUGCCUGUCCUUCUGCUUUGCUAAUCAGCUCUGGGGACUAAUUGAUGAACUGGGGGAUAAAGAGAACAGAUGCUAUCACAGGUCUGAUGGGCUGGACAAUGCUGGCCAUGACCAGAUGUGUACAUAGAGAUCUCAGGUAGAACAGGGAACUGUAAAGGUCCUUUUUCACCACUUUUAAAUCCACACAAAGUCAAGUGUUCCCACUUGCAAAGCAGAGCAAGGCCUCGGUGCACAGCAGCUCCCACACCUGAUAUUCCAUCUGCACUGCUUAUGGGGCAAACUUGUCCGGGGCUCCCAAAAUAUAUGGGCUGGUGUUGUGUGAACCCCAGAUGGCCCCAGGGAUAACAGUCCUGCUGCAGCACAGCUCUCUAAACUGGUGGCAGACACCAUCUCUUAGGACAGAUGCACAAACCCAGCACAGGCUGCUUGUGUCUGGACUGAGAUCUUAGCACAGGCCCCGAUCCCUGGGCAUCAAACCUACCUUGUAGAGGAAGGCCAGCACAGCCAGCCCGUUGGGUUUGUCCUUGGCUUCUUCAAAGCUUGAGUAGUCAGCAGAGUUGUAAUGGACAAUGUGCAGCUGCCAGGAGAGAGACAAGGUCAUUCAGCAACAAGUGAUGAGUGGCUUCCUGGGUGCUGCCCAGGGCAGACUGCAGGGAGAGCCACCAGCCCAACUCCUGCUGCUUGUGCCUCACAGCACGGCCAAGGAGACCUUUGGUUUAACAGGUUUGUGAUGAAUGUGGGGGAAAUCUCCAUGUUAGAAGGACACCAGUGCUCUUGCAAUGGCUUUUCUCACAGUCCUUCUGUGCCAGCACCGUCGGGCUCAGCCCUUGCACGGCACCAGCCACCUGCACUCCUGGGAGCCCUGUCCUUCCCCCGGGCCUCUGGAUUGCUUCCUGCAGGCUCUGUGGGCUGCAGCUCCCAGUUUCCCAGCUGGCAGAGGUGCAGUGCCCCCUCCCUGCAGCCCACCCUGCUCACGUACCUCCGCAAAGUACCUCAGCCCGUCUAUGGUGUGCUCGGAGCCACUGGUCUCCAGGUCCAGGCCACCCCAGUGCAGGUGCAUCUGGACAGCUGUGUAGAGGCCUGGGAGCCCUCUGGAGAUGUUCAUGGUGGGUGGCAAAUCGAUCUGAACUGGAAAAAAAAACCCCGCCAGGAUUGGAGACAGCGCUGGGUGCCAUCCCGUUCCUGUGGAUCCCCUCACAGUGCCUGCUGCUCCCUCUGGAAUGAGCAGGCACAUCUCAGGAAUUAACCCCAGCGUGGAAGGGAAAACACUGAGCCUAAAGCUGGAUGUGCUUAAAAUCCUUCCUGGCCUCAGGCUUGUGCCCCACACAGCUCCCACCAGGGGCAGUAGCUGUGCCUGCAAACUCUUCCUCCGUCUGAGCAGCUCCGGGUUUGUCAUUAGGCACUAAUUAAAGUGCUUUAGUGAUCAGCUCUUGCACAGCACAUCGCUCCUUGCUGGGCUCUGCAUAAAUUUAACUACUUCCUUUCCCAGGAAGAAAAGGGGAAUAUAGAAAUCAACAAAGUGAUUGGCCUCAUCUAACCUGUUGUCAUAAUUUCCAGCGUCCUGGACUCUGCAUUUUCUAGCAACAGGCAUACUGGGGGGAGCCCUGUACAUUUGAAAAGGCUGUUUAUUUCUUGAAGGAUUUGUGGAGACAAAUCUCUUUCCUUCUCCUUGCCAAGGAGUACCCACAAAGAAGCUACGAACCAUUUGUCUUCCUGCUAAUUCACU